CCCCCGCUUCCUCCCGCCCGCGCCGCGCGUGCACUCCGCGACCGUUAGCCUCUGGCGCAGUCCUCACGCAAACGGUCUCUGCCUGCCCUGGAGGCAGGCUCCUGCCCACCCGGCUAGGGCAGAAAUCCUUCCUCUUUCAUUCUCGAUUUCAGAGCCCAGAGGUUUUGCGUUAAGACCCAGUUGCCAGAGCCACCUUCUGGCCUCAUCAUCUUGGAUUUCGUUUAAAAAGAAAUUAGAACAGCGAGUUGGCAACAGAUCUGCUGUGAAAGUUGUGAUCCUUUAAAGGACAUAUAAUCUGCUGUGCUUUUCAAAACUCCAAAAUAGUAAUGACCACAGUGCGCUGAGCCAAGUGAGGGAUUCAGAAGUCAUCACUCUGGCAGGCACCGGCCUGUGCGCUUGUCCUCUGGUGAGGAGAGAAACUUUCCGUUGCGCUGCCCCUCCAGCCUCCUCAAGAGCAAGGAUGGGGAGGGCUUCCAGAGGCCAGCUCAUCAGCUCUGGUGCUGAAUCAGCCCAAGAAUUUUUAACUACAGGAGAAAAAUGGAUCACACUGGAGGACAUUCUCCUUGAAGAGAACUUCACCCUGGCCUAAUCAGAGAUGCAAAUUUCUGAGGACAAGAAAUGUUCUUGCUUGACAACAAAAUGAGACCCAAGCAUGAAACCAGCUUUGGGUCACUUAUUCCAAGUUGCUGGAACAAGUAUCUGUGAAAGAAAUCGAGCCCAUUUCAGUAGGAAUGGUCAGUUCUUAAAUUAGAAAGUGGCAAGGAUCUUACAGACCAUAUAAUCAUCUCUCGCAGUGUUCCUACGUCUAUGGCAGCAAGCAGAGCUUCGGAAGGUUUCCUGUCAUACUGACAAGCAAUUUGGGGAGUGUACAAACAAUGUCAAGACCAGGGUAAAGCCUUCCCAGCCCAGCCUGCGCAGGCAGAUGACAAAGGAAGAAUAGGCGUCUGUCGGCCCAAGCAACGACUUCGUGUGUCUCCUCAGAAAAGCAUCUGUGAUUGGAAUUUGCCAACAGUUCCACCAAACCACGCUGGACCAGCACAUCAGGGAGAAAGGGAAGAAUGAUUCAAGUUGGAUCUACUUUCCAUAUUUGUGAGUCUCCUGGCAGAUGCAAAUGAAUAACUACUUACAGCUGCCAAAAAGAACGUCACUUCUCUAGGGAUGCUGCGGACCAUACAGGUGACUUUUCUGUCCUUACCCUGUCAGAGAGAGGAAUCAGAAUUUUCUAUUUUUCCACAGCAAGGGGAUCUCAAAACCUGUAAUUACAAAAAUAUAUAAAAACAUAUAAUCCAGCACAUUUGUUUGAAUAAUACAGUCCUUUAAUUACAGAUAUACCAUAAUUCUUAAUUUUUUGAGAAAAUGUGAUUACUGCCAUUUCUUCAUUAGACUACAGUUUCACUGUUUAAGAAAAUUUUAUUUUAAAGGCAUGGUAUUAUCCACUUACUCCACAUUGAUAAAAACCCCAACAAAGCAUAAGCAAACACUUGAAUGCUCUCUUCCUAGCAACCAAGGUCCUUCAUCAGAAAAGCAGCAUAUCUGUUUUUUUCUGUACCUUGUAUUAAGCCAAAUUUCUAGUUCGCAACCCUUCCACCAUUCAAUAACCAUCAAAUUCCCAGAAUAUCAUUUUAGGUGAAAGUCUGAGCCAGUGACUAAGCCACCACUGUUCAUUUUCUAAAAGAAAUUGAAUUUUGUUUUCAAAAACACCACAUGAGAAACAUGAGCGCCCUCAGCUUUAAUAUUACAGCAAACCCAUCUAUCAAGCCGUCAAGAACAACUUUGGGCCAAAAUUCUGCAUUGGAUACAUCUAAGUCCCUAUUUGAAUAUCUGUGUUACCACUACUUACUUGUAAUACUACGGCCAAGGGGCCAGAUUUGCAGAAUUUUGUUUAUCCUUCACUUCCACUGGCAGAAAUACAAAAAGAUUAAUAUUAGGCACUAAGCCUCUUCACGUUUACUAACUUGCUCUGCAACUUAACUCUUCAAAUUACUGGCAACAUUUUAAAAAGUGCUGAGCUUCUGCAGUUCCCACUACAGUGAGCAGGAAAUACAGAUUACUCGGUACUCCCUUGGGAUUUACCUCUAUCUUUACAGGCUGAUAUACCUGUACUGUUUCUACUGCAGAAACAGUUAUUUUGGAUCUCUUAUUAUCUCUGUGGGAUGCCAGGAACUCCCCAAAAGCCCCAAAGCACAAAGAAAUGUAAUGUUAAAUAACAAUGAGUGAGCAGUGGUAGUUAAACAAAAAUAAUGGCAGUUUUGAAGUUUUUUCAACAAACCCUUUCUUCAGUGACAUACCUCCUCUUUUCUCCCAGAAGAAAAUACUGAAACUAACAGAAUCUUCUCCUUCUCUACAUCCUUCAUUUUCUUAUGUAAGGUUAUUUUCCCCUUUCUUUCUUUUCUUAUGUGAAGGAGACCUAUGGUCUUGCUACUGACUCUUCAAGAAAAGGAGAGCAGCAACUGGGGAAUCAGUCUUCUGUGGAAAAGAGGAAAAAUAGGAAGUAAGAGGAUGUGUCCUUCUGGACACUCGUCGUGUGGUCAAGAAGCCAGCUUUCCCCACUUUUCCCAAAAGUCUUCAGGUGAAUGUCCAGAGAAGUACAUUUUCUCCCCAGCCAUUCUUGCCAACAUCAGGGUAUACUGCAGCAUUCAAGACUGCUGGUGCCAUGUCAUUUCAGAGCCUCCAACAUCAGCUUAGUAUAUUAAAUAAUGCUGUUCCCAAGGAAGGAGAAAUAUCUGCAAGUGGAAUGGCACAGAAUAAUAGCGAGACAUGAGGAGUAGACACACACCUAAGUAUUAAAUGCUUGGGAGGAGUGGGCAGCAUUGGAGUGAUUCUUACUUCUGUGCCAAAUGUGCUUCAUCACAUGGAAGUCCCAUCAGAUUAUUUGUCUGUUUACCAUCGCUUAACAUUUUCAUAGCUUAUUUUAGUAUUUUUGCAGUUAGUAUUAAUGCAUUUGCAUCUAGUAUUUUGCAUUUUGUUUCAACUUUAAUAAAUUAUUUAUGAGUUUAGGAUUACUAACAAUUUGAAGCUUCAUUACAAACUACCCUGGGGCCUCUCACCUGCCUUGUCCCAUUAACUUAUUAUUCCCAAAUAUCUAAUUUACAUUUAAUAAGAUAUCAAUUGAACAUUGAUAAAAUAAUAAUGAAUUAAUAAAAUAUAUCUUCAUAGAGGUACCACUAGCUUAAAAAUGUAAGCAGACACAGUACACAGUCUGCAAGUCAUUUGUCAAAUCUCUCUGAGAAUAUUUAUUAGAAUCAUUUAGUAUUUAGAAUAUGAUAAGCUAUAACAAUAUGCAAUUGCUAUUGUCUUCAGCUAAUUCUUGUAACAAUCGUGAACCACACCAAAUUGUGAACCUGUGACAAUUUGUAAGGCAGAGUUUGGAAGUAACCAAGUGUUCUGUGUAGAUAAAAAUCCUGUCUCAAAAAUCUACAAAUGCCUAGGAGACUUCGUGUUUUCAUGAAAUGUAGUGCCAGAAUAAUUUUGAUUUGAAUAAAUAUGUAUAUAUAUUACUUUAA
Long non-coding RNA from Dromaius novaehollandiae (emu), 3503 nucleotides. RefSeq lists it as uncharacterized. The transcript is spliced from 4 exons. The record is from RefSeq and is a predicted model, not a curated record. NCBI's taxonomy places the organism in Eukaryota, Metazoa, Chordata, Aves, Casuariiformes, Dromaiidae.